CGGCGGACGGGUGAGUAACGCGUGGGUAACCUGCCUCAUACAGGGGGAUAACAGUUGGAAACGGCUGCUAAUACCGCAUAAGCGCACAGUACCGCAUGGUACCGUGUGAAAAACUCCGGUGGUAUGAGAUGGACCCGCGUCUGAUUAGGUAGUUGGUGGGGUAACGGCCUACCAAGCCGACGAUCAGUAGCCGACCUGAGAGGGUGACCGGCCACAUUGGGACUGAGACAUGGCCCAAACUCCUACGGGAGGCAGCAUG
Molecule: ribosomal RNA, 259 nt
Filed under: uncultured bacterium
Lineage: Bacteria
Description: partial 16S ribosomal RNA
Rfam family: Bacterial small subunit ribosomal RNA
Source: RNAcentral